UACAGAGGUCUCGAGCGUUGUUCGGAUUCAUUGGGCGUAAAGGGCGCGUAGGCGGCGGGGUAAGUCUGGUGUGAAAUCUCGGAGCUCAACUCCGAAAUUGCACCGGAUACUGCGUGACUCGAGGACUGUAGAGGAGAUCGGAAUUCACGGUGUAGCAGUGAAAUGCGCAGAUAUCAGGAGGAACACCGAUGGCGAAGGCAGGUCUCUGGGCCACUACUGACGCUGAGAAGCGAAAGCAUGGGGAGCGAACAGG
Molecule: ribosomal RNA, 253 nt
Filed under: uncultured bacterium
Lineage: Bacteria
Description: partial 16S ribosomal RNA
Rfam family: Bacterial small subunit ribosomal RNA
Source: RNAcentral